AACAGUGGUGGCCACUCUGGCUGCCUCCUCCUUCCUGGCUGGCUUGGGCCCUACUGGAGUUCAGGCUUCAGAGAGGCCUACACGGAGGCCUCCGUGGAAGCAUCGCCCACCCGCCGAUCAGCUGAGAGGCGGGAGAAAAGGAGCUCUUUGCAGCUUGUCUGCCGCCUGGAUUGCCGGCCAGGAGAACAAGCUGGAGAGACGGCGAACAGGGCAAGUGGCUGAGGGGCCUUGGGGCUGGGCAGGGGGCAAUGGGAAGUCACGUGAGGUGCCUCUGGGGGGCCCCUCCAGGCAGUGGGGCCCCCAGACAACUGUCUCCCCUUGCCCGAUCGUUGUUACACACCUGCUUAGUCAGAAGCCAUGUGCAUGCCACCGCACAUGCAGGAAACAGUGCUGCAGCCACAUGCAGCCUCUUGGAGAGUGGGCACUACUGCUGGAAAAGUGGUGAGGUGGCGGAUGAGCUGGUCCAGCUCCUUAUUUACAUAGAAAGGUUAUAGAUGCUAGCAUUUCCUUCUGUCUAGGAAUGCAGGGUCCCCUUCCCCCAGGUGGCUCAACAUUCAAGACAGUCUUCAUGGGAUAAGUUUCCUUUAGGAGGAGGAGCAUUGGAAUUCAGGUCCAGCAUCAGGGGUCAGCAUCGCUGUCACUGCAGAGAACUUAAGGCUCUCUGAAGAGCCCGCUGCUCAUGGGUGAUUCUUCCAGGAGGCGUACCCAUGCAUGGCAGCUCUCAUGAGAGUUUGCGAGUGAACUGCCAGCAGGGGGAGAGGAAAGCGCCAGCGCUAUUGGACGGGCUUGCAGACAAGUGGCUAACACAUAGCAAGCAUGACAUGUAACAAGAAACUGAUGCAAAGCCUCAAAGCAAUGCAAGAACAUGCCUUUCUUUUGACCGACAAGCACAGAUGCAGAGACCUGUGAAAUAAUCCUCCAUUUGGCAACCAGCACUUAACUAAAUAAAAAUGUGUCCAUUUUUUCUUUCACCA
Long non-coding RNA from Hemicordylus capensis (graceful crag lizard), 974 nucleotides. RefSeq lists it as uncharacterized. The record is from RefSeq and is a predicted model, not a curated record. Lineage: Eukaryota; Metazoa; Chordata; Lepidosauria; Squamata; Cordylidae. The transcript is spliced from 6 exons.